Biomphalaria glabrata is the source of this 6224-nucleotide RNA transcript. It is a transcript of the gene named GRIP and coiled-coil domain-containing protein 1-like, with no coding region annotated. The record is from RefSeq and is a predicted model, not a curated record. The transcript has 12 exons. Lineage: Eukaryota; Metazoa; Mollusca; Gastropoda; Planorbidae.
AUCUGGUACUUGCUUUAGAUUUGCAGUACCUAGUGGACUAGAUUUGUAAAUUGUAAUCACCUGCUCUUACGUCACAUAGAAACCCUGUGAAAAUCUGGCAAUUUUUGACUCAGAAAAAUGAAUAUUCAUAUAUAUAUAUAUAUAUAUAAACGUUGACAAGAGACAGAUUAGAAGAGUUUUGAAGACAUUGAAGUAAAUGGAGAAACUAUCCAGAGCUGAAUUGAUUGACACUGUCAACCAGCAAAAGGAACAAUUGCAGCAGUAUAAAUCUAAAUUAAGGGAUGUUGUGGCUGCUUAUAAGAGUGUUGUGAAAGAGAAAGAGGCCCUGGAGGCCAGCUUAACAGCAUUAAGUGCAUGUAAUAGCUCCUCCAGCCUAAACAAGGCAGAUAUUGUCUCAGAGAAUACAGUUGAAACCAAUGAAGAGGAGAUUAACACAUCUGACCCUUUGGGAGCUACUAAGCAGGAACCCAAGGAUGAAAGUCUAGCACUUCGAGAGCAGGUGAAAACUUUAAGUCAUUCUCUCGCCACUCUUACACAAGAGAAAAAUAAAAAUGAUGCCAAAUUUUUUGCAGAAAGGAAACAAGUGAAGCAUGAGAUUGAAGAGCUCCAAGCUCAGCUGUUGGAAGAAAAGAGGAGGACCUCAAAACAGGCUGAAGGUUUUGAACUUCAAAUUUCAGAUAUGAAAAGUCGUCUUCGCACUCAACAGUUAGAACGAGAGCGAGAGCAAACAGAUCAUGCUCUGAUGUUAAAAGAACUGCAGACUUUAUUAUCCAAAGAGAGAAGCACCAAAGAAGCAUUAGAAGCUCAAAUUGAUGAAUACCAGUUUGCAUUAAAAGAUCAAAGACCUCAGAGUACCCCUGUGGUCUCAGAGGUGUAUGAGAAGCAGAUUCAACAACUUCAGAAUGAGCUGCAGAUUGUGAGAGACAGACUAAAGUCUGCUGAGAACAAAGCCAACCAACCAUCACCUUUUAUAAUUGAGUUGCAGAAAGAUAUGGCCAACAUGCAGGCUGAUUACCAAAGACAGGUUGAGAAAGAACAGCAGAAAGCAACAGAGGCUAAACAUCGUCUGAAGGCUCAAGCUAAACAAAGUGAGGAGAGAAUUUCAAGCCUAGAAGCGAAACUGUCAGAUUUGUCGGAAGUGGUGGGGAACUACGAACGUCUGAGGUUUCAAGACCAGCAGGCCAUUAGCAAACUCCGUGAACGUGUGACUCAAUUAGAUUUGGAAAACACUGCAUUGGUUCAUGCUGCUAACUUGACACCUGAGAAAAAAGAAAACGAUUUGGACACAAUGGAAGCAGAGAAAAUUGUGGAGAAAAUAUUCCAGUUAAGAACAAUUCUCAAAAAUGUUGCUGAAAAAUCAGAAACUCCUGUUAAACUGUCAAGUAUAUUUGUUGAAGAUAUGAAUAAAGCAGAUGAAGAAUCAGACCAGUGCAGAAAGUACAAAGAAGAGCUUGAGCAAGUGAAAGAAGAUUUUGAGAGAUACAAACUUAGAGCACAAUCUGUACUGAAGAACAAAAAUAAGGAAACUGGACCAUCCAAAGAGUGUGAACUGUUAAAAGAGCAGGUGGCUGAGCUUAGAGACAAGUUUCGGAUGAGCAACUUCCACCACCAGGAAGAGAUAGCAGAGUACCAGAAUAAGAUUGACAACCUCAGCAAAGCUCUUCUGAGCCAUGAAGAAAAAUUUAAGGCUGACUUGGCUCUGGUCAAGGCCAGCCACCAAAAGGAAGUAGUUCAGCUGGAGACAGAGUCCAAGAAACAGAGAGAGAGAACCAUAGCCAUGCUAGCUGAAAAGGACUCUGAGAUUCAAAAGCUGAAGGCCUUGACUGGUCAAGGUUUGGACAGUGAUAUGCUGAGACACUGGAGCUCAGGGCAACAGUUUUUCGAAGGUACUUUGCCUGCCGAGGAUUCUAAAACAAAACAUUCUGAAGAGCAUGAAGCUGUAGCACAGUUGCUUGACCUUCCUAAAAGUCUUCAAAAUGAGGCCAUGUUCCUACACUUUGCUCAAGAGAAGGGUAGAAUGGAGGUAGAACUUAACGGCCUCAGGAAACAGAAGAGGCAGCUGGAGUCGGCUAUUCGAGAUCUCCAGCUCUCAAUGAGUCAAAAAGAAGAGAAGCUGAGGGAUGAGAUCAGUGCCCUGCAGGAGAGACUAGCGGAGGUGGAUCGCCACACACACAGAGAAAGCGCCAAUGUUGAGUAUCUGAAGAAUGUCAUGGUGAAGUUCUUGACAUCCACAGACUCUGAAGGCAAGAAGCAAAUGCUGAAGGCAGUAAUGACCAUCUUGCAGUUUAGUCCCUCUGAGAAAGAGAUGAUAAAGAAUGCUCAUGCCAGAGGUUGGUGGCCAGCAUGAUGACUGAUUCAUCUGACUAGUUGUAUCCACAAAAUAUGCUGAACAGAAUGGAUAGUGGCUUGCGGACCUGGGCACAUAAGUUAGAGUCUACUGCAUUUUGUGCAUUGAUAGUGCCAAAUCUUUGUCAUUUCAUGAGUAAAAGAUUGUUGGUCCUGGUAACAUGAAAAAAAACAACAACUUUUGAGCCUUACAGACCAUGCAUUCUCUCCUGUUACUUUUUGAAGAAAAAUGUCCACUAAGAUCUAGAUUUCUUUAUAAAUGUGGGUAAUUUAAAAGUUGGAUCUUAUUUUUGUCUACACCAGUGGUCCCAACCUAAUCCAAGUCUUAUUAUAUAAAACUGUCUGAUGUACCAACAGCCCCAAGCACUCAGUAAAAUGUGUACUACAUGGGGUCACAGACUUUAAGCCUUGGGCUGGAAACCUUUAAUCAGACAAAAACUUUUAUAUACUUCAACUUUUUUUGGUCACCAUCUCAGAUAGAAAAAAAUUAGCUUACUCAUGCUAUCUUUAUUCUUGAUUCUUUUUUAUUUCUCAAUAAUAAAGUUAUAGUGAGCAUAUUAUUUAACUACAAAAGCCUAAGACAUUGAUAGAAUAAUCUGUGAUGUAAGAUAUAAAUUAAUCAUUUUCACUUUUUUUUUCUUUACUUUGUGUAAAAAAUUUGAUGCUGGAGAUGUUUUUUUCUCUUUCUUUUUUUUUUUAAAUUAUUAUUUAUUAUUAUCAAGUAGUGUUUUCCUUCAGUUGCAAUAUCUUCUUUAAAAUAAAGCCCAGAAGAAAUGGAAGAAUAUGAAAUUCCAAAAUACUAUAAUUAAUUCAACUAGAAUAAUCACGUUAACUUGUAUCACAAUAUUGAAUUAUAUUUUGUAAACAAAACUUUUCUCAAGAAUUUCAUAAUGGGACUGAACACCACUUCUGCUUGGUUGCUUCCCUUUUAUAAUAUUUACAUAAUCUUCUGACAUAGCAGGAUUUACCAAAUGGGCAGCACAAGCUAGAUCUAUAUCUUAGGACCCUCAAGAAAUAUUUAGCACUGACAAAUAAUAUCUGGACUUGUAAGGAUCUCAUAUCAAAUAGUUUAUGGCCUUCUCAAGGGCCCUGGGAUGUUUUUUUAUUUUUAUUACUAAUAGUGUAUAAUGUAACAUUCCAGGUGCUGAUGUUUGUGUAAACCAGUUCAAUACAAGGUUACCAACUCAGUACCUAUUUUAUUUGUUUAAAAUUCAGUUUUAAAAAACAAGCAAAAUAUAAAAAGUACGUUUUAUUAAAACGGUUUAUCUAAAGGAAAAAAACUGCAUUUACAAUGAUAUCUCAGCAUUUAUUUCCCUCAUUCAAUAACAAACAAAAUAAUUAAUACCAAUAAUUAAUUAACUAAUUGGUAAAUUUUUAAAUUGAUCUAUGUUUUGUUAGGUACAAUAAAUAAUUGUUUGAAACUUGAUCUGAGAAUGGGUGAGGGAAAAAUAACUCUUAUAAACUUUUUACCAAACAGACAGACAGAGGGAGUUGCUAUGAGCUUAGUAAUAAGCUUUAAAAUAAAAUUUGCUUUUAGACAUAAAAUUAUAUUUAUUCCGAGGUAUUGGGUUUAUUCACUUUGGACAUUUUUGUCUUCUUCUUCUUCAUCGUUCUCAUUUUUCAUGUCAGAGUGUUCAAAUCAGUAAUCCUAUAUCUGAGAUGAACUGCGUUUCCAGAUCAGGCAUUUCUCUUUAUAUUUUUUUCUUCUAUAGGAGGGUUUUGAGGCCAGAGUCUUGUUCAGGCCUCUUGAUAAAGUAUUCAGCUUUGAAGGGCAGGGUCAGCAUUCUCUGGUGAUGCUUCACAAGGGCAAGUUUCACUAGUCCAGACUUUAAACUUUGAAAACAUAUGUUGUCUCAUUCUGUUGUGUCUAGUUCUGAGUCAAAAAAUGAUGCGUUGGUCAUGCCGUGAUAGCUUGUAAUAGGCUUCCUUUUUUUUACAGACACAUUUUAUUGGUCGAUUGUUGAAGUCAUGAUCUGAUUGACAGAGUUUGUGUGCAUCACUGCAUUAGUUGGACUGACUUAUUGGGGGAAAAAAUGUCUUAAAACUGCAUGUGGCUGACUGAAAUUAAGUGCUUGGCUAAUUCACUUGGGAGGGGGGGGGAUGUUUAUGUUUCAAUCCCAGUCCAGAUGUUUUUAUUUUUAGCGGCCCUCAAAAGGGGAAAAGACUAUUAGUUUUGUGUGGCCUGUCUGUCCGUCCCGUUUAGAUCUCAGAAACUAGAAGAGAAAAUGAAAAUCUGACAUCAUAAUAUUUUAGACCAUACAAAGUUCUGAUGCAAUGCAACAGCUACUUUUUUCUUUUCUGAAAGCUAAAAAUCUAAUUUUUUAAAUCACUUAUUCAAGCAGUUUUUGCAUAAAAAUAUACCACUUUUACAACUAUUCACUAUUAAUAGUAACAAACACGGGACGCUCUUUAUUAGGGGAGACUACUAUUUACCAUAAUUUUAACACAUUUAUGCCAACGGUUGUGUUGUUAAGUUAUGUAAGUUCUGUUAUACUAAGUUUAUAUUUACACACAAACAAAUGUUUAUUAUUUUUUUAAAGAGAAAAAAAUCUAUUUAGUAUGCAUAUAAGUCAGACAUAAUUUUAAACAACAAUUAAUAAGUAGUUUUUCAUAUUAUCGCGUGAACUGCAGGAGCAUAGUAGAGGUAAUCGAAGAAAAAAAAAAUUAUUUUAAUUUUUUUUUAUACUGAAAUGUUUUAUUCUUGAGGAAUAAGAAAUUGGCCCUUUACAAAACAAGUAGAUCAAUUAGAUAUUCAUUAUAAGACAUCAGUUAGGCCAGGUUCACAUCUAACUUCACAUUCACUUUCACCUAUCCUUUGGUCUGCUGGACCGCUGGGGCACCACACGAAAUCUGUUAACCUUUUUUUCUCCUUUAUUUUCUGUCAUUUGUCUGUGAUAGAAUUUCAUUCUGAUAAUGUUGAAACCUGCCUUUUUACCUGCCUGGGUGGACCACUUCGGGGGCCGAUUUUCAGUUUGUGUUUCCACACAAACUGUCUUUGUAACCUUGUUAUUUUUAGAUUUAACUCAGCUGAGUUGUGCUUGCUCAGCAACUUAAAGCAGCAUGUUUACAAAAGAGAUUGGACAAAAAGACACUGAGCAGGGAGUUCGAUGUACAUCUUUGUAAAGAACGUCUUCUACCCUCAAGAAACUGUUAUAGCUUUUAGAAGUGAAGAGAUGCAAGAUAAAACAGUUUUCAGAAUUCUGUUUGAUCAUGAAGCCUAUCAUCUACUACAAUUGAACAAGUACUCGGUACCCAAGGCUUUCUCGUCUCUUCCAUUUUGUUCUUCCAUUGAACCAAAUGCAAAUGUUCUCAUUUCUGAUUACAUUUGAAUUACUUCCGAACUUUAGAAUAUUUUUUUUAUUUAAAAAAAAGACGUAUGUUCUAAUUUGUAUAACAUGUUUAUGGUUAACUUUGUACUGACAGGUGUAUCCGCAAGUCUACUUGAAAUGCGCUAUUAUUGAAUUCUUAAGUGUUAUGACCUAAAUCUUAGAGUCACCACUUAUAUUUGGCAAAAGUGUGUGCGUGUGUAAACUAUGCGUGACACAGAUACAAGAACUCUCCAAUCCAACUCUCUGAUGUAAACUUCACAAGUUAAGUGAAACUGUGGUAUGAACGUAUAUUUUGUGUGCUUAUAAUGUAUUGUUUUUGGGUAAUGCACAAUUGUAAGAAAAAUUUCCUCGAGGAUAAUAAAGAUUGUUAUCAUUAUUAGGCCUACUAUAUCCACCAUCCGUGUUUCACAAGAUUGGUUUUAAAAAACUAACCUGCAGCAGUAUUUGAUGAAGAUAGAGAAGACAUCCUGUACCUUCUACCUCAGCUGCCUCUCCAGACUUACCUGCCCAGAGAAGCCUGCAAGACAUCCUGUACCUUUUACCUCAGCU